This is an RNA transcript of Lagopus leucura (white-tailed ptarmigan), 3575 nucleotides long. It is a transcript of the gene named mitochondrial rRNA methyltransferase 1, with no coding region annotated. Lineage: Eukaryota; Metazoa; Chordata; Aves; Galliformes; Phasianidae. The transcript is spliced from 9 exons. The record is from RefSeq and is a predicted model, not a curated record.
UCCGCGCCGCGCCCACGUGUGCGGGCGGGCCGCGCCCCGGUCGGAUCCGAGUGUGUUUGUGCAUCCCCUCGUUCUGCCCCCUUUCCCCGAGUGGUACCGGGGGUCUCUUCCCCGUGCGGGUAGCUAUGGAGCAGGCGCUCAGGUCUCUCGCCCGCGGGGCCGUGGGGCUGCCGUCCGCCACUUGCAGCCGCUGCUUUGGGAAGGGCCCCGCGCGGGUCCGGCAGCCUUGGCGGUUCUGCACGGCUGCGGCGCGAGGCGGGGACCGAGCCCGCAUCUCCGGUGGGAGUCUGCGGGACUCAGGCUGGGGCUCGGCGAGACGCGAGGUCUCGAAGGGCGGGAGGAGGCCGGAGGGAAGGGCUCUGUCCAUCGAGAGGACGAGGGGCAGCGAGAUCCUGUUCGGCGUAGCGCCGUGCUCCAUGGCCCUGUCCCGGGCCAGGAGGGAUCUGUUCAGGCUGUUCCUCAAGCGGAGCAGCGGCUCUCAGCGUGCGAUCAGCAGCGAGUUCGUGCUGCAGGCCGCGGCACGCGGGAUUCCCGUGCUCCACGUCGGGAGGAGGGAGCUGGAUGCGUUGUGCGGGGGCCGCGUCCACCAGGGAGUGUGCUUGGAGGCCACUCCGCUCCGCUUCAAGAGGCUAGAGGAGGCCGAAGAGCCCGGUUUGGGGGAUGGAGAGAGCCCGAAACGGCAGCUGCUGUGGCUCGUGCUGGAGCAGAUCCAGGACCCCAUGAACCUGGGGGCACUGCUGCGCUCUGCGUAUUUCUUGGGGGCGGACAGAGUGGUGACGAGCCGGAGGAACAGCUGCCCCUUGACUCCAGUAGUGAGCAAAGCAAGUUCUGGAGCUAUGGAAGUCUUUGAUGUCUACAGCACAGAUGAUCUCAGGAGCUUUUUGAAGGCUAAAGCUGCAGAAGGCUGGGAAGUUGUGGGAACAGUGAGCCAGUCUGAAACUGUGGAAAAUGUUCCUGUCAUCAGCUGCUUGGAGUUUCGGUGGAACAAACCCAUUAUUUUAGUGAUAGGUAGUGAAGGUGAUGGCCUUUCCCUGGAGACGCAGCUCCUGUGCCACCAGAUGCUGGUCAUCCCCUCUGGCAGGGCACUGCACCCAGGCAUCGAGUCACUGAACGUCUCCGUAGCCACUGGCAUUCUCCUGCACUCCAUCUGCAGCCAAAAGCUGAGGCACGGUGAUUGAUUUUUAUCCUGGCACAUGGUGGAAGUUGCCCAGCCAAGAUCUUUGAUGGCAAGAAACUGCUCAGUGUUCCAUGGCUGUGUUCACUAUGGAUAUGGUAGUACUCCUUCCAGGCUCGGCACCAUCUCAGCAAGUUUCAGGUGCUUAAACAUGAGGAGACCCUUCAUUAAGGUUGCUUGUGUUUGAGAAAGCCACGUGCCCUCUGCCCACGCUCAGCCAUGGCAGCUCAUCCCCAACAGAUCCCAGGAAAUGCUCUUGACCAUCUGCUGCUGCUCUAAGGAACGAGUGUUUACCACCAGAAACAUGGGAGGUAUCUGGGAUAGAUCACAGCAGAGUGCAAGGGCAGAGUGCAGCCACUUAAGCAAAGCUGUGCCACAGUCACCAUGAGCCAGGAGUCGGAAGCUGCUCAGUCAGCGGCAGCCUCCUCCCGUGGCACCAGGAGGUUGCAGCCUGCAGUGAGCACAGCAAGACCUGGCGCAGUAGGGAAUACGUGGAUGGACACAGGGAUUUUGCUGUGGCCAAGCAGUAGGGACGACUGGUGUCAUGCACCUCAUCUUAAGGGACAGCUUCUGGAAACAUUCCCAGUCCUUGGCGUAUUCAUCAGGAUUGUUACAAUUCUGCUGCCACAAAGAGGGAAGUAUCUUGUUCUCCUGUUAUUUAUUAGCAUAUGCUGUAGUGUGAGGGCCCUGCUGUGAGGGGCACUGGGUAAACACAGCCGAAAUGACAGCAGCAGUCCUCAUCACAGAGCGUUAGCAAUUCUAACAGCCACGUCAGGCGGAGAAUUUGAGAGACGGAUGUAACACGAGCAAAGGAAGAAUGUGGCAGUUUGCAAACAGCGAGUUGCGUGGUGUUUUUGAAGGUGUGUUCAUUCUUGAAGCACCUCGAAAGAAAUGCAAAUGAAAUGUAUGGUGGACAGGUCUAUGUGCAAGCAAGGCCUGUUGGAGCUUCAUGUUGGAGACGUAGAAACUUCUUUGUCUCAUAGAAAGAGAUAACAAGGCUUUUUGAAAGUGUGAGCAAAGCAUUGGAGGCCUGUUUUUGCCUGAAAGCACAGUGGGAUAGAUCAUGGAGUCUGAGGAGCAGGGAGUCGUGUGCUAUUCUAUUAAUAAAAGCAGAAGGAAGUAACAGAACAGAAGCAGUGGAGCAAAUCCAAAAGCCAGUGCCCCACCAAACGGGCAAAAAACCUCACCAAACAAAAGCUGAUGAAUUUCCAAGGUAGAAUUUGCUGGCAGACAGACUGGGCUGAUGCUUCCUAAAGCAACCAGUGUAAUCCCUCCACUCUGCUAAGGCAAUGCCAAACAAAAGAAACCUGCUCAACGUUUUCUAUUAGCCCGAAAUUUUGCUGUAGAGAAAAUGAUAACACAGAAGGAAUUUCCUUGGGAAAGAAAAGAGAAAAGGGCGCUGCGGAGUUAUUUUAGUUCAGGCGACUGCAAUGCUAAAAAUGAAUUCUGGGGCAGGACAAUAAACUCAUACACGAAUACUAAUUCUGCUUCCAAUCAUCCAAGGAGUUCAGUCACUGAAGCCCAUUCACAGUCUGUGUGGUUCCCCAGGCUCAGAGGGAUGCUCCAAAAAACUUUGAAAAUCCCAAUCUAAACACGUCUGUGUCCAACUUUCUAAAGAUCCUCCUGUGGGGCUGCAAAGAAUAAGUAAUUUCUAUCUGUAACACGUUAUGAAGUCCUCAGGAAGUAGGCACCAGGGCAGUGUAAAAUGGUUAUUUUAGCAGUAUCUUCUCUUACAAUUGCUUGUUCUCCAUCUCCACGGAGGGCGGCUGGCAGCACAGUGCUGCAGUGAUUUAAGCCCACCAGGCUGCGGUGUUGGCUCUUGUGAAGUGCCUGAGCCCCGCGCAGGACUUGGCCAUAAACUGCACAGCCCAAGGAAGAUGUUGCUUGUUUUCCAGGACAGGAUGAAAUCACCCCGUGCAUGUCCUCUGUCUAUUGCCUCUCCGGGCAGGGAAAACAUAAAUGCCUUUCCCAUCAUUUUAUUUAUUGCCUUUCUGUGUUUCCUGGGAAUAGCCUAUUUUUAUUUUUUAGCACUUGUGUGUGUGUGUGAGUCUGUGUGGGGUAAGCGUGUGUGUGUGUGUGUUUAGGAGGUUAAAAAAAAUUUCUUGCUGUCAGCAAGUGAUGUUACAAACCUGCUCUGACAAGGCUGGUUGUAUAUUUACAGUUGGUGAGAGCGAAGGCUUCAUCAAUCUUCACGCUUUGAAAGGGACAGGCCCGCUCCCAUGAGCACCUGCUCCGGGAGAACAGCUGAACUGUGACUUUCCAGGGAGCUGGCUGUAAAUUUUAGCCAUUCCCCCCACAGCCCACGCAUGCUUGAGCUCUUUAACCUUCCCAGGCUGGCAGGAGUCCCAGCAAUCAGUUUAGUGCAAAGACUGGGGUUCUUUUUAAUUAACCUUUUGUUUCC